CCUACGUGUGGCAGCAGUGAGGAAUAUUGGUCAAUGGGCGGGAGCCUGAACCAGCCAAGCCGCGUGAGGGAAGAAGGUACAGCGUAUCGUAAACCUCUUUUGUCAGGGAACAAAGGCGGGGACUAGUCCCCGGAUGAGGGUCCCUGAAGAAAAAGCAUCGGCAAACUCCGUACAGCCAGCCGCGGUAAUACGGGGGAUGCGAGCGUUAUCCGGAUUUAUGGGGUUAAAAGGGUGCGCAGGCGGCCUGUUAUUUCAGCGGGAAAAGCCCGGGGCGCAACCCCGGCGAGCCGUUGACACUGGCGGGCUGGAGUGGGAGAGAAGUAAGCGGAAUGCGGGGUGUAGCGGUGAAAUGCUUAGAUAUCGCGCAGAACACCGAUUGCGAAGGCAGCGUACCGGCUCCACACUGACGCUGAGGCACGAAAGCGUGGGUAGCGAACAGGAUUAGAUACCCCAGUAGUC
RNAcentral lists this ribosomal RNA (459 nucleotides) under uncultured bacterium. RNAcentral's name for it is "partial 16S ribosomal RNA". It matches the Rfam family "Bacterial small subunit ribosomal RNA", at positions 338 to 795 of the family's 1533-position model. The record is from RNAcentral.